AGAGCCCCCUCCACAGCGGCUCCUGGCUCUAUUGUUUGCGAGGCAAAGAUGUGGUCCGCAGGUCCUCCAGGACGAAGCUGUGGCUUCUCGACGUUCGCCCGCUGCACUGACCACCUUGGAGAUGCACGUGCAGUGCAGCGUCCCACUGGAGAAUGUCGGGAGACUGGGCUAGGAGAGGAGGUGGUGCAGUUGCAGCAGGUUCAAGCGGCCACGCUCUGCAUCGGUGGCGGCAUGAGCUCCGACACUGUGAGGAUCGACGAGUAGGCGAGCCGUAGCCACCCUGGAGAGGACCCAAAUCAGCCCAGUGUCCACCGCCCAGCCUUCUUCUCCUUCCCCAUUUCAUUUUAGCUUCAAUUUCUAUCUCUUGAGGUAAGUCAUUGUUCAGCGAGGAAGGAUUUCUAGAGGUAUUCAACUUUGUGUUGCCCGAAUAAACUUCUGAUUGUUGUUAAAAAUUACUGUUUGGGCCGUGGAGAAUCCCUGCGUCAUGAUUUUUUGGCCGUCAAUAGAGUUUGUUCAUACAUACAGAUGUUUGUUGAGAUGUUGCAGUCGAUAAACAUUGGUGAUGAUGCAUAAAUGUUGGUUGUUCACGUAAGUUUUACCAUGGUUGUGAAGGAAAGCAUUAAUUGAUAAAUUUUCCAGCACAUUUGUGUAGGUGAUACAGUCCUCUUAUUUUCAGUCACUGACCUGAGCCGCAUUUUAUAUAUCUUCAGGGAUGAGCAUCGACAGUAUGGAAUGAAUGGUAGAAUGAUAUUGUACACGAUGCCCGGCUCCGAGCUCUCUGUCCGAUAGGUGGGUCUGGACAACGAUCCAGAGAGAGGUGCUUCUGUCAUGGUAGGCAGGAUGGAUAUCUAGAGAACAAUUUGUCUGUUCAUAUCAGCCAAUAAAACAUGCCAGAAUCUCAAAACUUUUGAUGGAGACUCAAUUAUGAGAGUAGGACAGUAAAUGAAAGGGGUCUCAAUUGGAUUGCGAACCUGUAUGUAGUAUAUUUCUUCGUGGCUGCAGAUUGCAGCAUGCAGUGGUUUUGGAUGUCAUGGUGCCAUGGCUUGAAACCAUAUUGACAACUGAAACAUGCUCUUCAGCUUGCACCUAUACUUCUUUAUAGCUGUUGUGAUCAUAUUUUUGGGUUCUUUUGGGUGAGAAAAAUAUUGCUACGAAUCCAAGUGGAUAUACUUUACAGUUCGGCGAGCCUUGAACUGAUUGUUCUCUUAUGUGAAAUUACAUACCGUGACCAACAACUGUGACCAUGCUUAUGUGUCUAAAUUAAUGAAGUCACCGUGGUUUUACACCACACUAUUGCUAAUGCAAUCUACUUUUCAGUUUUGCUUCUGCUUGCCACCAUUGGCUGCUUAGUACCUAUGAGUUCUCUAAAGUGUGAUUUCCCGGUCUCUUCAACAACAACAUUUGAGUCAUGUCGGUUGUAUCAACUAGCUGAGUUUAUUGUCAUUUCCAGAGUGUUCAUCUUUAGGUGCUAUGUCAGGUAAUUUGUUCCUACAUCUACUUUCUUUUCUGAUUUUAGAUGCUACUUAUUAUUUGUGACUUUGUAUCAAAUGUGACCAUUCUUAUUUGUAGAUCAUUACAUAUAUCCUUUGAUGGAUAUCAGUUCUUCUAUUCACUACGCAAUCCAAUCCUGAGCCUGGGCUAUCAUUUGUAUGCAACAUAUCAGUAAUAUUUUCCAUGUUCGUCAAAUAAUGCACCACCAUUUGGAAUUCUGCGGAUGCAUAAAAUACAUAAUACUUUGCUUUCAGGCAAUGGUGGAGUGCUUACAUUGUUGCCUGGCGUUUAGCAGAAUAGUGGGUUGAUCCAUCUUUGUGUUCACAAGUUUUAUCAGGCAAUGGACUAUGCUUGGUCGCUUAAGAUAUCUACACCGUAUGGUGCCAUCUCAAGGAUAAUUUCUAGGAGAGGGCUAAAGAUCCUUGCGCUUGAUAAUCUCUAGAAGAUCUAUGUCAUAUAUGUAGGUACAUAAUUCAUUGCUCAAUUUGAGAAAUUCCAUUACUAAGUACAGAGCACAAGCUAACUACUCAGUAUUUAUUGCAGGAUCAGGACUAUGUUAAGGGGCUCAAUGAAGUUCCUGCAGCAGAUGGUUACAGAUUUUCGGUGCUAAAAUGAUGUAUGAGAAAUGGAUCCCUUACGAACAUGAUGGACUUAGGCUAGACAGAAGAGCCAUAUAGACAAUGUUCUCCUCUCUAUACUUUUUUAGUUAAUGCGUUAAAGGGUACCUUCUUUAGUUUUGUUCUCUUUGCUGAAUGUUGUUGUACAGGGAUGUAGCGAACAAGUAUAUCUGAAGCCUACCUUUCUAUUUCUUGCUUU
Molecule: non-coding RNA, 2307 nt
Organism: Lolium perenne
Lineage: Eukaryota; Viridiplantae; Streptophyta; Magnoliopsida; Poales; Poaceae
Source: RefSeq, a predicted model, not a curated record